This 468-nucleotide ribosomal RNA is filed under the name uncultured bacterium. Its description in RNAcentral is "partial 16S ribosomal RNA". It matches the Rfam family "Bacterial small subunit ribosomal RNA", at positions 28 to 507 of the family's 1533-position model. The record is from RNAcentral.
GACGAACGCUGGCGGCGUGCUUAACACAUGCAAGUCGAACGGAAAGGCCCUGCUUUUGUUGGGUGCUCGAGUGGCGAACGGGUGAGUAACACGUGAGUAACCUGCCCUUGACUUUGGGAUAACUUCAGGAAACUUGGGCUAAUACCGGAUAGGAGCUCCUGCUGCAUGGUGGGGGUUGGAAAGUUUCGGCGGUUGGGGAUGGACUCGCGGCUUAUCAGCUUGUUGGUGGGGUAGUGGCUUACCAAGGCUUUGACGGGUAGCCGGCCUGAGAGGGUGAUCGGCCACAUUGGGACUGAGAUACGGCCCAGACUACGACGGGAGGCAGCAGCGGGGAAUAUUGCACAAUGGGCGGAAGCCUGAUGCAGCAACGCCGAGUGCGGGAUGACGGCCUUCGGGUUGUAAACCGCUUUCGCCAGUGACGAAGCGUGAGUGACGGUAAUGGGUAAAGAAGCACCGGCUAACUACGUG